UUUCCGUAGGUGAACCUGCGGAAGGAUCAUUACUGAGUGAGGGCCCUCUGGGUCCAACCUCCCACCCGUGUUUAUUGUACCUUGUUGCUUCGGUGAGCCCGCCUCACGGCCGCCGGGGGGCAUCUGCCCCGGGCCCGCGCUCGCCGAAGACACCUUUGAACUCUGUCUGAAGUUUGCAGUCUGAGCGAAAACUAAAUAAGUUAAAACUUUCAACAACGGAUCUCUUGGUUCCG
Molecule: unclassified non-coding RNA, 233 nt
Filed under: plant metagenome
Description: partial contains small subunit ribosomal RNA, internal transcribed spacer 1, and 5.8S ribosomal RNA
Source: RNAcentral